Molecule: ribosomal RNA, 240 nt
Filed under: uncultured bacterium
Lineage: Bacteria
Description: partial 16S ribosomal RNA
Rfam family: Bacterial small subunit ribosomal RNA
Source: RNAcentral
AUCCUGGCUCAGGAUGAACGCUGGCGGCGUGCUUAACACAUGCAAGUCGAACGGGAAAUAUUUCAUUGAGACUUCGGUGGAUUUGAUUUAUUUCUAGUGGCGGACGGGUGAGUAACGCGUGGGUAACCUGCCUUAUACAGGGGGAUAACAGUCAGAAAUGGCUGCUAAUACCGCAUAAGCGCACAGAGCUACAUGGCUCAGUGUGAAAAACUCCGGUGGUAUAAGAUGGACCCGCGUUGG